GAAGGGGGCUAGCGUUGCUCGGAAUUACUGGGCGUAAAGGGCGCGUAGGCGGGUCGUUUAGUUAGAGGUGAAAGCCCAGGGCUCAACCCUGGAAUUGCCUUUAAUACUGGCGGCCUUGAGUAUGGCAGAGGUGUGUGGAACUCCGAGUGUAGAGGUGAAAUUCGUAGAUAUUCGGAAGAACACCAGUGGCGAAGGCGACACACUGGGCCAUUACUGACGCUGAGGCGCGAAAGCGUGGGGAGCAAACAGGAUUAGAUACCCUGGUAGUCCACGCCGUAAACGAUGAGUGCUAGUUGUCGGCAUGCAUGCAUGUCGGUGACGCAGCUAACGCAUUAAGCACUCCGCCUGGGGAGUACGGUCACAAGAUU
Molecule: ribosomal RNA, 368 nt
Filed under: uncultured bacterium
Lineage: Bacteria
Description: bacterial SSU rRNA
Rfam family: Bacterial small subunit ribosomal RNA
Source: RNAcentral